RNAcentral lists this long non-coding RNA (233 nucleotides) under Gossypium barbadense (sea-island cotton). RNAcentral's name for it is "long non-coding RNA (GBAR_LNC011954)". Lineage: Eukaryota; Viridiplantae; Streptophyta; Magnoliopsida; Malvales; Malvaceae. The record is from RNAcentral.
CCUAUUUGGUCCCUUUUUAUUUUCUUUUAAUCUACAAUUCAACUUUCAUCCUUUAUUCAAUUUAGUCAUUUUUCCUAAUUACUCUUAAUUAAGCUAAAUUCACUUAAUUAAAACUCUAAUUAACCACUCGAUUAACUUCAUAAAUAUUUUUAAUAAAUAUUUUCUAAUCCAUUUUUCAGAAAUAGUGAUCCGAAAAUACACCUUUCUAAUAACCUUAAAGUUCGGGUCGUUAC